CCCCUGUGAUUGGGGGUGCUCCAUGUC
RNAcentral lists this non-coding RNA (27 nucleotides) under Homo sapiens (human). The record is from RNAcentral. Lineage: Eukaryota; Metazoa; Chordata; Mammalia; Primates; Hominidae.